ACGAAGGUGGGCUAAUCACGGUUGGACAUCGUGAGGUUAGUGCAAUGGCAUAAGCCCGCUUGACUGCGAGAAUGACAAUUCGAGCAGGUGCGAAAGCAGGUCAUAGUGAUCCGGUGGUUCUGAAUGGAAGGGCCAUCGCUCAACGGAUAAAAGGUACUCCGGGGAUAACAGGCUGAUACCGCCCAAGAGUUCAUAUCGACGGCGGUGUUUGGCACCUCGAUGUCGGCUCAUCACAUCCUGGGGCUGAAGUCGGUCCCAAGGGUAUGGCUGUUCGCCAUUUAAAGUGGUACGCGAGCUGGGUUUAGAACGUCGUGAGACAGUUCGGUCCCUAUCUGCCGUGGGCGUUGGAAGAUUGAAGGGGGCUGCUCCUAGUACGAGAGGACCGGAGUGGACGAACCUCUGGUGUUCGGGUUGUGUCGCCAGACGCAUUGCCCGGUAGCUAAGUUCGGAAUCGAUAACCGCUGAAAGCAUCUAAGCGGGAAGCGAGCCCUGAGAUGAGUCUUCCCUGAUACUUUAAGUAUCCUAAAGGGUUGUCGGAGACUACGACGUUGAUAGGUCAGGUGUGUAAGUGCUGUGAGGCAUUGAGCUAACUGAUACUAAUUGCCCGUGAGGCUUAACCAUACAACACCCAAGGGGUUU
This 639-nucleotide ribosomal RNA is filed under the name Vibrio parahaemolyticus. RNAcentral's name for it is "partial 23S ribosomal RNA". It matches the Rfam family "Bacterial large subunit ribosomal RNA", at positions 2310 to 2925 of the family's 2925-position model. Lineage: Bacteria; Pseudomonadati; Pseudomonadota; Gammaproteobacteria; Vibrionales; Vibrionaceae. The record is from RNAcentral.